Molecule: non-coding RNA, 1012 nt
Organism: Vicugna pacos (alpaca)
Lineage: Eukaryota; Metazoa; Chordata; Mammalia; Artiodactyla; Camelidae
Source: RefSeq, a predicted model, not a curated record
UUAGUGAAGCAAUGAAUUCUGCAUCCUGCAAAUCUCGGAUCAUGUAAGUCCCUUGCUCUGUAGAGCCUAGUUCAGAUGGCGCGCCCCUUCCUUUGUCGUCCACGACACUCUGAGCCUUUUCUCCCAGCACUUUCCACCAGCUCUGCACCCCCAUGCUGCCCAGGACCACACUGUAUCUGAUUUCAUACAGGCAGCCCCUCGCCCAGUGUCUAGUGCCUGCUAGUCUCCCCAGACACAUUGGCUGCCCAGUCCUUACAGAUAACUGUGUGCAGAUAACAAGUCAGUGAGUUAACUAGAGGAGAGUCAGUGAUCAACUAGGUAGUGGUGACAGUGGGAAGUCAGGAAAAUCUUUACAGAAGAGGUGACAGCAGACAGGAUUCUAAAACUGAAUAGGCUGUGCCUCGUGGAGGGGUAAGUUAAAGAAAACAUGAGGGGAGAGACUCUCAGACAGGGAGAGAGUUUGUAUAUGGAGGGAGGAAGGAAGGAAGGAAAGAAGAAAAGAAAAUAUGGUAGGGAGGAUGGAUGGAUGGGAGGAUGGAAGGAAGGCUACUAAGUAAAGAAGCAAAGAAGUGUGAGGAGGUUUAAGGCAAUAGGGAAUGGUGGGGACUGUGGUAACUUGCGGGAGAACUUGCCUCAUUAAAGCAGGGAGCCAUCACCGGGCUCUUAUAGAUUCUUCUCAUGCAGGAAGUUGGAAUCUAAUAUUUUAUCUUUUUUUAGGAGGAGCUAGAAAUUGGAUAUGAAAUCUCCCAAUUUUUAGAUAUUGGAAAAGCAGCCCUGAUGGCUUGGACCCGGCUCUAAACUUGGAAUUGUCUCACAUGGACCUGAAUCGCCCUCACCCACGACGAGAUUAAUCUCGCCGCAUUGAAACCUCUGGAAACCUGGCAUGGAAUUUCCUUUUCAGAUGGGAAGUCCACCUAAGAAACAGCUACAGCCCGUCAACAAAUGUGGGGAGGCGGGGUGGGUAAGUUUGUUUGCAAUCCAAGACACACAAAUAAAAACGGCCAUGAGAUAA